RNAcentral lists this ribosomal RNA (247 nucleotides) under uncultured Arthrobacter sp. Its description in RNAcentral is "partial 16S ribosomal RNA". It matches the Rfam family "Bacterial small subunit ribosomal RNA", at positions 796 to 1041 of the family's 1533-position model. Lineage: Bacteria; Bacillati; Actinomycetota; Actinomycetes; Micrococcales; Micrococcaceae. The record is from RNAcentral.
CAUGCCGUAAACGUUGGGCACUAGGUGUGGGGGACAUUCCACGUUUUCCGCGCCGUAGCUAACGCAUUAAGUGCCCCGCCUGGGGAGUACGGCCGCAAGGCUAAAACUCAAAGGAAUUGACGGGGGCCCGCACAAGCGGCGGAGCAUGCGGAUUAAUUCGAUGCAACGCGAAGAACCUUACCAAGGCUUGACAUGUGCCAGAUCGGGCUAGAGAUAGUUCUUCCCUUUUGGGCUGGUUCACAGGUGG